Long non-coding RNA from Spinacia oleracea (spinach), 3052 nucleotides. RefSeq lists it as uncharacterized. The transcript is spliced from 12 exons. The record is from RefSeq and is a predicted model, not a curated record. Lineage: Eukaryota; Viridiplantae; Streptophyta; Magnoliopsida; Caryophyllales; Amaranthaceae.
CUUUCUUUCCCACGUUUAACCUCCUAUGUGCCAACUGCGUUCUUUUCUUCCCUCCCUCAUUAAUGGCGCCCUGAAAUACCUCCUUUCUUUGCCGUAUGCGAUCUUCUCCUCUCCCUCAGUAAUUGCACCCAAAAAAACUCACCAGCCCAGAAAAACUCACGAGCCAAAGCAAAAAUUAAUCUGCCCCUGUCUUCUUUCAUUCUCCUCUUCUCACUAACCAGCCAUGGGAUUCGAAUUCGAAGCAAGAACAAACGAAAACAAUAUAUUGGGACCGUUUCAAGUAGGCGAUCUUUUGAUUGGGGUGGAUCUUUUCUUUUGAAUUGCAAAAAAUGAAGCAGAGGAUAGCCUGCAAUCGUAGUCGAGAUCGGAUUUGUGUCGGCCUCUCCCUCAUUUUUUGCAGAAGAAAAUGAAAAAGGUCCCUGCAAAAUCCCACCGUUUGAAGCAGGGUGGUGGAUUAUUUGUCCAAUUAGGUAACGGAGAACAUCAACAGAUUGGGGAAUCCCAGCCAUCUUUCUCUCUCUACUCCGCAGUGUUUGCUCAUCCAUCAGCAAAAUCCGAAAUCUGCGCCGUCUUGCUGCUGAAAUCAGUCAACUUUUUGGCGCCGACGGUCUCAUUUUUUUCAAAUUGAAACUACCGCAUUCCAAGGACCCAAAUGUAGGGUUUUUCUUCCGGAAGUGGAACGUGCGGUUCAAGUUCUGGAAGAGGUUAAAGACUUAAAGAUGUUCCUGAUCCGGAGUACCUAUGAGAAUCAGGCCUGAGCUAUUUCUACUGCAGUUUUUCUCAACUCAGUUUCUCCGACCUGAAAUUUUGCGUACAAUUAUUAGGGGUGGUCAUUGGUUGUCGUCUACACACAACCUUAGAGAAGAAAAAACAGUCAUGUUUCGCCAUAUUUCAUGCUCUACUUUUGUUGAUCUUCCCUACUAUUUAGAUAAUUAUUCCUCCUCAGGUUCCUACUCUACAACCUGCAGUAUAGUUUGCUCAACAACCAGACAAUUUUGAGAUCUUUCAGUCCUCAUUCACUUGAUUGAAGUUGGUUUGAUAUCAUACAUCAGUACAGCUCAGUCACAACUCAAAGGUUAAUGGACUUGGACGACAGUACCAAUUAAGCAGUAUGUUUCAUCACCGUCUGCAGUUGCCAGUUGGACCAACUGUGAUGAAUAAGAGCUCAGGAGAUGAAUCAGGUCUUAAAAUCAGAAUCUAAUGGCACUUUAGCCUGCAUUGCACCAUGAGAAGGCAUACUCUUCAUAAUCAGCAUUAAUCGAAGGCCCGGGUUUAUAAAAUCAUAAACAUGAAGUGUCUGCAGUGUAGCAAGAUGUUGUUGCUGAUGAGGAAGGGUGGUUGACUUGAUGUUCUUGUGUUCUCCUGUGUCGGCUACAAGAAUAAUGAUGGACGCAUUUCAAAGAACAGAUUGUCCUUCCUCGAGUCUGAUGAGUAGAGAAGAGUGAGAGCUAUGCAUUUGCAAAAAACUUUAAAAAGCUUUGGCGGUCAAUUAAUAGGUCAAAUAUUUAUUAGCUUUGGAGUCUCUUGGAGCAUAUGAGCAAUGGAGCUUAUGGAGCAUCUGUCACCUCAAGGAUUGCUUUUUUGGUUUGCUUCAUGGAUUUGGCUUUGACUUGUUUCAGUUAUUGUGAAAUUAAUUGCAUGAAAAUGUAAUUGAAGGCUCCUUAGAUUAACCAUGAUGUUGCCUAUUAUUAACAUCGGCUUUUUGGCUCAAAUAUACUGAUUUGUGUUUGCAGUGAAUCUGUGAGUAGAGCAGCGAAGCAAUAAACAAAUGAGUAACCGUUUCUCUCGUACCAUCUAUGUUGGUAACCUACCUUCGGAUAUCAAAGAACGUGACAUUGAAGAUCUGUUUUACAAGUAUGGUCGUAUUUUGGAAGUUGAAACUAAAGUUCCACCUCGACCUCCUUGUUUUUGCUUCGUGGAGUUUGAGGGUCCCCGAGAUGCUGAUCAGGCAAUAAGGGGACGUGAUGGCUACAACUUUGAUGGUUGUCACCUAAGGGUUGAACUUGCACAUGGUGGACGGGGAUCAGGAUCAUCAAGCAGCUUGUAUAUUCUUCAGUUGGAUGACAAUUCCAAUUGCUCAUCAUUCUAUUUGUUGUAAGUACUCUUGUACCAACUAUUUUCUAUUCUUUUCUUAGUUUUUUGUGUCAUUGCCGAGUUCUUACAGAAACCAUUUUUUAAUGUAAUCAUUGCGCCCUUUGAAUUGAUGUACAACUAUACAAUCCAUAUACGGAGUAAGAAUUUAUCACUUGUACUAAUACAUAUUACAAUAGUAUAGGACAAUGGGUCAUUUGUAAAGAAUUUAAGUAGAAUUGUUUUGGAGUACAGAUCACCCCCCAGCUGCACUGAAGGUAUAUCUUUAUUUAAUAUCCUUCGUUAAGAUAUCCCUGCUUGAUAUUCAACGCUUUAGAGUUGAGAUGCUAAACAGCUAAAGUAACAAGAUGGUUGUAGGUAUGCAUUUUAUCACUCUCUACUAUUUUGGCUUAUGAUCUCAUAUAACUAAAAUGAAUCCAUUCACCAUUGCAAACUCCUGUUUACACAAUCGCUUCAAAUGUCGGUGUUGAGGGAGCUCUUAUUGUUGGAAAGCUAUUAGAGGAGGAUAACCAAUAUAUUGUUUACGAUCCUGCUAAAGGCGAAUAUGUAGACAUGGUCAAAUCAGGAAUCAUCGAUCAUUGAAGGUUAUUAGGACAACUUGUCUGAUUUUUCUAGUGUGUCAUCUUUGAUGACUACGUCGGAUGUUGUAAUUGUCGAGGCACCCAAAGAUGAGAAGGAUGUGGCUCCUGCAAUUGGUGGGGUGGGCGGUAUUACUUACUGAGUGGUUGACUAAAUACGCAAAGGAAACAUUUUCUUCACUUUUGCUGGAUUUUGUUAAUGCCCUUGUUAUGCUAGGAAGGAAAUUGUAUAAAACAUAGUGGGAGAAAAUAGUUUGUAGGUUUCCUGCGAAUGCAACCAAUAUUUUUUAUUGGGAUUGUGAUUGUAUCUCCAUUAAUUAUGGAAGAUUUGGCCAAAUUCGAUGUUGUAUUUAUCAUAGAAAUAUGCAACAAGUUUUUUAUCA